AAUCGUCAAUGCGACGUCCUCCUACUCCCACCUCAGAGCUGUCACAGAGACUGUCAGUUCCGUCCCUCCCCUUCAGCCCUUUAACGCACGUCUUCCCGACCGCAUAACUUGCUCAGUCCCUGCGGCCAACUGGGGCGGGCCAAUGGCUGUGACGGAUAAGGGGUGUGGGGUGCGGGGACAAUGGGCCAGAGCUUCUCAUGCAGCCUGCACCAGCGCCGGGUCGGAGAGUCAGAGGCCACCCUGAGAUGGACCGAGAUCUUCAGUUGGGGAGGCGCCUCCGGUGAGCUUGCGGCCAGAUGCCCCCUCAGUAGUCCUCCGCAACAGGUGCCGCGCAGCCGAGUGGCGGGCUAGCAUACCGCCUGCCCGCAAUUCGGCCAGGCCUCGAGCCUGCUCCGCCUUCCCGCUGCGGUAGCGCCGCCGGGGAAACGCCGCCACGGGCUGCAUGGGCAGCGCUCGCGCCCCGCCGCUGAGCCGCCGGGGAGCCGUCCAGUCUUCGAAUCCCAGAAACACAAAGAUGGUGCAGACCCAGGCCCUGCUUUGACUGGGAGAAAGAUGCAUUCAGUUGACUAAAACUUGAACCACAGCAUGUUCCGAAGAGAUGAUUGGAAGAUGGAAGUGGAGGGUUAAAUAAUGAAAUGCAGCUAACAUUUCGGAAAGUUUCUAAAAGUUGUACAACAUGCCCUACAGCUACUCUUUAAAUCUCCAAAUCAAAUGAGUUUCAGGUGGAGCCUCUGGGAGGUGAUGAGGUCAUGAGAGUGGAGCCUCAUGAAUGGGAUGAGCACUCCUACAAAAAGGAUUCCAGAGAGCUCGCUUGCUCCUUCCACAGUGUGAGGACACAGAGGGAAGGCUCUGUCUAUGAAUGAGAAAGUGGGUCCCCACCAGACAUUGAAUCUGCCGCAUCUUGAUACUGGACUUCCAGUCUCCAGAACUGUGGGCAAUAAAUGUCUGUUGUUUAUUACCUGUCCAGUAUCUUUGGUAUUUUGCUAUAGCAACCCAAAUGGACUAAGAAAACACCAGAGGCCAUACCUAAUAAAAAUAUUGACAUCACAA
RNAcentral lists this long non-coding RNA (1050 nucleotides) under Homo sapiens (human). Its description in RNAcentral is "non-protein coding TTTY14:3". Lineage: Eukaryota; Metazoa; Chordata; Mammalia; Primates; Hominidae. The record is from RNAcentral.